This 557-nucleotide ribosomal RNA is filed under the name uncultured archaeon. RNAcentral's name for it is "bacterial SSU rRNA". It matches the Rfam family "Archaeal small subunit ribosomal RNA", at positions 326 to 883 of the family's 1478-position model. The record is from RNAcentral.
CGGGGUGCAGCAGGCGCGAAAACCUUACAAUGCGGGAAACCGUGAUAAGGGGACACCGAGUGCCAGCAUCAUAUGCUGGCUGUCCAGGUGUGUAAAAUACACCUGUUAGCAAGGGCCGGGCAAGACCGGUGCCAGCCGCCGCGGUAACACCGGCGGCCCGAGUGGUGAUCGUGAUUAUUGGGUCUAAAGGGUCCGUAGCCGGUUUGGUCAGUCCUCCGGGAAAUCUGAUAGCUCAACUAUUAGGCUUUCGGGGGAUACUGCCAGGCUUGGAACCGGGAGAGGUAAGAGGUACUACAGGGGUAGGAGUGAAAUCUUGUAAUCCCUGUGGGACCACCUGUGGCGAAGGCGUCUUACCAGAACGGGUUCGACGGUGAGGGACGAAAGCUGGGGGCACGAACCGGAUUAGAUACCCGGGUAGUCCCAGCCGUAAACGAUGCUCGCUAGGUGUCAGGCAUGGCGCGACCGUGUCUGGUGCCGCAGGGAAGCCGUGAAGCGAGCCACCUGGGAAGUACGGCCGCAAGGCUGAAACUUAAAGGAAUUGGCGGGGGAGCACAAGG